AACGAACGCUGGCGGCGUGCCUAACACAUGCAAGUCGAACGAGAAAGGGGCUUCGGCUCCGAGUAAAGUGGCGCACGGGUGAGUAACACGUGGGUAAACUGCCUCUAAGAUUGGGAUAACUCGUCGAAAGAUGAGCUAAUACCGAAUAAGACCACAGUUCCCGCGGGAACAGGGGUCAAAGGUAGCCUCUGCUUGCAAGCUAUCACUUAGAGAUGGGCCUGCGCACCAUUAGCUAGUUGGUAGGGUAACGGCCUACCAAGGCAAAGAUGGUUAGCUGGUCUGAGAGGAUGAUCAGCCACACUGGAACUGAGACACGGUCCAGACUCCUACGGGAGGCAGCAGUGGGGAAUAUUGCGCAAUGGGCGAAAGCUUGACGCAGCAACGCCGCGUGAGUGAUGAAGGCCUUCGGGUCGUAAAGCUCUGUCGGGAGGAACGAAUGCUCCUGAGGUUAACAGCCUCGGGAGGUGACGGUACCUUCAAAGGAAGCACCGGCUAACUCUGUG
Molecule: ribosomal RNA, 503 nt
Filed under: uncultured bacterium
Lineage: Bacteria
Description: partial 16S ribosomal RNA
Rfam family: Bacterial small subunit ribosomal RNA
Source: RNAcentral